This is a long non-coding RNA of Numida meleagris (helmeted guineafowl), 1952 nucleotides long. RefSeq lists it as uncharacterized. Lineage: Eukaryota; Metazoa; Chordata; Aves; Galliformes; Numididae. The transcript is spliced from 3 exons. The record is from RefSeq and is a predicted model, not a curated record.
AUUUGGCCAGCUAGCUGUCCAGCAAAGUGUUUUCUAGGAAGGCAAUUUCAAACAGCCUUCCAGCAUUUAAAAGUUUUUGUUUCCUGCUUUAGUCUAGUACAGCUUUAGACAGUCUCCAACGGGCUGGCUGGACCAUGUUUUUUCUUAUGUCAGGCAGGGUCAUGUACAGCUCAGCACAUCUGAUCUCCUGAGCAAAAUGGCUGCUCUCUGUAUGGGAUUGCUGGGAGUUUCACCUCCCGGAGACACACAGCCCCUGGCGCCUGAGGGAAAGGCACACUUUCCCCAGCUGUGGGCCGGAAGAGUGCUCCCUCUCUUUCUCAUCAGCCUCUAUCCCCUCAGAGCCCCUGCAGAACAUCAGCCUGCCUUUCCCUUCUGUCUGGGUGGCGGUGGCUAAUUUUGGUGCUAGAAAGACACUAAUUACAUCCUGCGAUGCCAGACCUGACCCUGGGGCAGUCCUUCACUGAUGCACUGCGCAGAUGGGGAUGGGUAAGGCCUCCCCUCCCUCAUGGCGCACCAAACUAAGUUACAUGGAUAUCUGCCAGCACUAAAGCUGAGAACAAUAGGGUAUGAUAGAAGGAAGGGUGGUCUGUGAAUCAUUGGCCACCAGAAGAGGUACUGCAUUUUUAGUUGUAUUUUUAUUUUAUUUUCCUGUAAAGUAGGCUUUAGACACUGUGAUCACCAGAGAGCUGCAACAGACAUUCCAUAAACAAUUAUGUGUUUUGAGAAUGACUACAAAUAUAUAUUAAUGAAAUCGUUGAACGUGUAUAGAAUUACCUCUACUUGAAAUGCUUUAAUUGAACAGUUAAGAAUGAGUUCAGUCAUGUUUCUGAGGCAAGGCACAAGGCCGCCUCACAGGUGCGCCCUAGCUCAGCAGAGGUCAGGUGCUGCUGUUCAGCACAGCCCCACACAGCUGAGUGCCAUAAUGGGCUACGUAUAUAGGUGGUGCCUGGGCUUUUCUACAGUUCUUUGCUUUUGCUGUUGUCUGGAAAGAAGUUUCCCAAGCAGUACUGCCCUCAGUCCAGGAUCCUUGCUGAGGCUUUUCCAGAGGACAUCUAAGGUGCCAUCAGUGUACAUCUCCACGCACUCCUCUUCCCCUUUGCCAGAAGGCUCAUGUGAAUACCAGUUGGUAUAGCUCAGAUCAGCACCGUUCAGGAACUGGAAUUUGCCUGGGAUUAGAGAUUCCUUUAUCCCUAGGUUCUGGGAAAAUGAGCCCAGGACUUCCCUACUGCAAGGUCAGUGUGUGAGGAUUUUCUACUGCUUGUCCUUUUCUGAGCUGCCACUGCCCAAGCCAGCUACUGAAACGGAGUGGCAGCAAAAGCACUUUCUGAAGAAAUCCUUCUUGAUACUAGGGGAUUUGAAUCAUGGUCUUCGUGGUUUCUUGGCAUGACAUCAGUAGAGAUGUAGUUUGUGUUUGAAUUGAUUGAACUCCCAUUCCUACCUGCUCCCCCCAAAUAGUAUUGUGUGAUCAGUUGUGUGGGAGAUGACAGGUGGCCUUUUAACACAACAAUGGACAUAAUUUUAUGAGAGAAUGUGAUGCUUUAGGAAUAAAAUGCAAUUUUAGUAUCUUAUAUAUGUUUUUAUAUGUUUACGUAGAUCAAAUACAAUGCUUAUCAGUGUUUUACAAAGAAUGGCUUCUUUCUUAACUAAGAAAAUUAAUUGCAACCAGUAGUGUUAAUGUUUUUAUAAAGAUGGUUAAACAUGGAUGCUAAAUGUAUUAAUGCAUGCUUCACUAUGACACAUCGCUCUAGGCUUUCUGGGAGAUCCUUAUAAUUCUAGGAAAUACUCAAGUCCCAAGACCAUCACUGGUUCAGUGAAAUCUGUUCAUGUCCUUUAAGGAAAAAGCUAUUAAAUACUUGGAAAUGUUUUCACUAUGUUUUCAUAGUGUUUUCAGCCAAAGGUAAUUUUAUCUUCAGGUUUUUUCCAAUAUCCAAACCCUAUCUUUGGAAUUUUCC